AACGAACGCUUGCGGCGUGCCUAACACAUGCAAGUCGAACGAGAAAUCUUGCUUGCAAGAUGAGUAAAGUGGCGCACGGGUGAGUAACGCGUGGGUAAUCUGCCUUUGGGACAGGGAUAACACUCCGAAAGGGAUGCUAAUACCUGAUACGAUGCGAACUUCAAAGGAGUUUGCAUGAAAGGUGACCUCUUCCUUGAAAGUUGCCGCUCGAAGAUGAGCCCGCGUCCCAUUAGCUUGUUGGUGGGGUAAUGGCCUACCAAGGCGAAGAUGGGUAGCUGGUCUGAGAGGAUGAUCAGCCACACUGGAACUGAGACACGGUCCAGACUCCUACGGGAGGCUG
This 340-nucleotide ribosomal RNA is filed under the name uncultured Pseudomonadota bacterium. Its description in RNAcentral is "bacterial SSU rRNA". It matches the Rfam family "Bacterial small subunit ribosomal RNA", at positions 29 to 351 of the family's 1533-position model. Lineage: Bacteria; Pseudomonadati; Pseudomonadota. The record is from RNAcentral.